Molecule: ribosomal RNA, 1325 nt
Filed under: metagenome
Description: bacterial LSU rRNA
Rfam family: Bacterial large subunit ribosomal RNA
Source: RNAcentral
AGUGGAUGGGGAGCAACCUAGUUGUGCGUGUGUAAAGGUAGUGCCAAGAAAAGCGAUGAUCAUGUUGAAAAUCAAUUCCCGGUACCCGAAACCGACACAGGUGGGCAAGUAGAGAAUACUAAGGGGCGCGAGGUAACUCUCUCCAAGGAACUCGGCAAAAUGACUCCGUAACUUAGGGAGAAGGGGUGCCACCGAGAGGUGGUCGCAGUGAAGAGGCCCAGGCGACUGUUUAGCAAAAACAUAGGUCUCUGCAAACUCGAAAGAGGAGGUAUAGGGGCUGACGCCUGCCCAGUGCCGGAAGGUUAAAGAGGUUGGUCAGUUUUAGGAUGAAGCUAGCGACUGAAGCCCCGGUGAACGGCGGCCGUAACUAUAACGGUCCUAAGGUAGCGAAAUUCCUUGUCGGGUAAGUUCCGACCCGCACGAAAGGCGUAACGAUCUGGGCGCUGUCUCGGAGAGAGGCUCGGCGAAAUAGGAUUGUCUGUGAAGAUACGGACUACCUGCAUUUGGACAGAAAGACCCUAUGAAGCUUUACUAUAGCUUGGAAUUGUGUUCGGGCUUCCUGUGCGCAGGAUAGGUGGGAGGCGAAGAAGGUAUUCUCGUGGGGAUACUGGAGCCAACGGUGAGAUACCACUCUCAGGAGGCUAGAAUUCUAACUUAAUUAAGGACAGUUUCAGGUGGGUAGUUUGACUGGGGCGGUCGCCUCCAAAAAGGUAACGGAGGCGUACAAAGGUUCCCUCAGACUGGUUGGAAAUCAGUCGCAGAGUGCAAAGGCAGAAGGGAGCUUGACUGCGAGAAGUACAGUUCGAGCAGGGUGGAAACACGGUCUUAGUGAUCCGACGGUGCUGUGUGGAAGGGCCGUCGUUCGACGGAUAAAAGUACUCUAAGGAUAACAGGCUGAUCUCCCCCAAGAGUUCACAUCGACGGGGAGGUUUGGCACCUCGAUGUCGGCUCAUCGCAACCUGGGGCGGAAGUACGUCCCAAGGGUUGGGCUGUUCGCCCAUUAAAGCGGUACGUGAGCUGGGUUCAGAACGUCGUGAGACAGUUCGGUCCAUAUCCGAUGUAGGCGUGAGAAUAUUGAGAGGAGCCUUCCUUAGUACGAGAGGACCGGGAAGGACGCACCGCUGUGUACCUGUUAUGAUGCCAAUUGUAAACGCAGGGUAGCCAAGUGCGGAGAGGAUAACCGCUGAAAGCAUCUAAGUGGGAAGCCCACCUCAAGAUGAGUAUUCUGGUGUAAGGUCACGGGAAGACGACCCGUAAAUAGGCACGAGGUGGAAGUGCAGAGAUGUAUGAAGCCGAAGUGUACUAAUAGACCGUCGGCUUGACCG